RNAcentral lists this unclassified non-coding RNA (299 nucleotides) under uncultured fungus. RNAcentral's name for it is "sequence contains ITS2". The record is from RNAcentral. Lineage: Eukaryota; Fungi.
AACGCACCUUGCACUCUCUGGUAUUCCGGAGAGCAUGUCUGUUUGAGUGUCAUGAACUCUUCAACCCACCAGUUUCUAGUAGACUGUUGUGGUGUUUGGAUUUUGAUUGCUGCUAGUCUGACUAGCUCGAUCGUAAUAUAUUAGCAUCUCUAAUUCGAAUUCGGAUUGACUCAGUGUAAUAGACUAUUCGCUGAGGACACUAUUUAUAGUGGCCGUACUAGAACCAGUAGAAGCUUCAAACUACUUUAGUCAACUUUGAUUUAGACCUCAGAUCAGAUAGGAUUACCCGCUGAACUUAA